Molecule: ribosomal RNA, 522 nt
Filed under: uncultured Pseudomonas sp.
Lineage: Bacteria; Pseudomonadati; Pseudomonadota; Gammaproteobacteria; Pseudomonadales; Pseudomonadaceae
Description: bacterial SSU rRNA
Rfam family: Bacterial small subunit ribosomal RNA
Source: RNAcentral
AGAGUUUGAUCCUGGCUCAGAUUGAACGCUGGCGGCAGGCCUAACACAUGCAAGUCGAGCGGAUGAAGGGAGCUUGCUCCCGGAUUUAGCGGCGGACGGGUGAGUAAUGCCUAGGAAUCUGCCUGGUAGUGGGGGACAACGACUCGAAAGGGUCGCUAAUACCGCAUACGUCCUACGGGAGAAAGUGGGGGAUCUUCGGACCUCACGCUAUCAGAUGAGCCUAGGUCGGAUUAGCUAGUAGGUGAGGUAAAGGCUCACCAAGGCGACGAUCCGUAACUGGUCUGAGAGGAUGAUCAGUCACACUGGAACUGAGACACGGUCCAGACUCCUACGGGAGGCAGCAGUGGGGAAUAUUGGACAAUGGGCGAAAGCCUGAUCCAGCCAUGCCGCGUGUGUGAAGAAGGUCUUCGGAUUGUAAAGCACUUUAAGUUGGGAGGAAGGGCAGUAAGUUAAUACCUUGCUGUUUUGACGUUACCGACAGAAUAAGCACCGGCUAACUUCGUGCCAGCAGCCGCGGUAAUA